UCUGUCUUAAAACAUAUUAGGAUCAUUUAUAAACACUUAAAAACCCUAUAGCAAACCACCACUACAAAUCUGGAGAACCACAUCGACCCACCAGAGAUUUAUGAGAGAAUUUCAAAAUUUCACUGCUCCGUCGAAGAUCUCCGGCCAGGUAAUCCCCUAAAUAUCUGCUCUCUCUUUCCAGUCUGAUUGAUUUUUCAAAAAACCCCACAUCUGAGAAGUUAUCAGCCUCCACUUCCUUUGUCAGAUGGUGUUUCGAUCCCAGAUGGUGUUUCUGAACAAAGUACCCAUGUUACAUGAUGAUGGUUGUAGGGGUAAACAUCAAGAGCAAUUCAACGAUUGAGGUAAAGGCAACUAUGAAGAUGAAGAUGGAAAAAGGAGACCAAAUGCAUACGAGUUCUGUGAUGAAGAUAGUCGUCAGUUAGUUAGGUUAUGUACAUCGUUGUGUUGUGUGAUUUGCCUAAUUCGGUUUGUUUGUGAAUUUACUUGUAUAUUGGUUUCGAGUACAUGCUUCAAUAAUUUGUGGUUUUAAGACAUGCUUUAUAGUUAGUGAGAUACUUUUAUAAUUAAUAUUUGUUCUAUACGGUUUAGCAUAAAAAUACUGCAAUUAGAUUUUAGAAAUUGGAACGUACGGGUUGAAAAGUAAAAUUUGGGCUAGGAUUUGAUUAUGUUAACCAAGAGUAAUUAUUAGUAGUAAUAAGUGAGCCAAUAACCCCAGUAACAUGCACUACCAUGUUAUGAAAGAUCACAAUGAAACUGAAAGAGAGGGAGAGAGAGAUUGUAUUUCAUUUGUCUUUUUUUGCUUAUUGGAGUAAAGAGGAGUGUUGGUGUAAUGAGCAUGUUUUAUAACAUCUUAUUAUUAUAAUUUAUGUGCAGCUGCGGUACCAAAUCUUGCCAUGGUUGAGAUUGUGUGUGGUGUGCACUGUGCAGAAUCUUAUAUCCUUUUUCCUGAGUUCAAAACAGUCUUUGGUCAUCAGUUGGUGCAUCACUGAGGACCGUUACAUGUUUUGAAGAGCUAAGUGCUGAUUAUGUAAAAGGGGAUCUACAUGCUAAUGACCUAACACCUGCUCUAUCAAAGGCCUUAAACAGGAUUAUAAAGAUUUCAUAGUUACAACUUCAUCGGAGGAUAUACAGGUUAACUGCAGCCAUUCCCCAAAUCAAAGUAUAGUUUUAUGGCGAUGUUUGGUUGGUGGCGUGGUAUGGCAUUGGCAAUGUGAUCAACCGAUGUCGCUUUAUAUCAGUCACGAGGCUUCAAAGCUAUGGAAAAGAAUUUGUGCAAAAACCACAACGGAAUUCAAUCUUCUCGCGGACAACUAGAAGUAUAUUCUCGCCGGUUUAAUUUGCCAGUACAUUCAUGGGCUGGCAGCUCAAGGAGUCCACUAUCUUCAUCGCCCCUGCCCGUUCUCUAGGACAUUGGCUUCUUUCUACUUCCUGAACAUCAAUUAUUGAAAGACCGUAAGAAGAAUAUCAAAAAACGACUCGGGUUUGUGGGGAAAACGGUUCAAUAAAUUCAUCACAAGGUGUCUCAAAUCAGAACAAUAACAAAGGAGACUCGUCUCCUGUUAAAGAAAGCCAGAUAGAAGAAAAGAUCAGGCAAUAGAUUGAACUCACAAGGUCUCCUGAUUCAGUUUAGUUAUAACUUAAAACUCAAUGGCUGCUACUUCAGGAGCUCUCCUUCAAGUGUUAUGUAGCACAGGGCCUAGCGUAUCUCAUACGCAUUUAUGCCCAAAUAUGUCAAAAUCCCUGGUUUCAACUAACCAUGGUUUGGGUUAUAGAAUUGAAAAAGUAAAAAUUUCAAGUCGGAAAAGUUACAACGUGAUCUCAGUGUUAUCGUGGGCCAAAUCUUAUUGAACGUUUUAGGGCUUUAACUUGUAAUUGCCGCAAGAUUGAAAGUGUUAGUGACGCGAUUAAUGAAAAGAGCGAUCUGCUUCUUAAAGGUGAAUUAUCUACAAAUGGGAAUGAGGCAUUUAGUAGUUUGUUGAAUAUAGAAAUAAAUUCCAUAGAGGAAGAAGCAUGGGAGUUAUUACGUGCGUCAAUGGUUUAUUAUUGUGGUAAUCCGAUUAGAACCAUUGCUCCUAAUGACCCAAGUGAUUCUAGCAUUCUGAACUACGAUCAAGUUUUCAUUCGUGAUUUUAUACCAUCGAGUAUAGCGUUUCUUCUAAAAGGAGAGUUUGAUAUUGUUCGGAACUUUAUCUUACACACCCUUCAAUUGCAGGUAAUUGAACAGUGUGAUUACAUAUCAUUUUGUAAUCUUCUUCAUUCAUAAAUUAGCUAAACGUAUUGUUAGUAUUUUUCGUAUUUAUACGAAUAGAGUUGGGAGAAAACCAUGAAUUGUCAUAGUCCUAGUCAAGGGUUAAUGCCUGCAAGCUUUAAGGAGUGUAUGGUUCCUCUUGAUGGUGAUGAUUGAGAAAGAUGUGUUGCUACAAAUCAGGUUAUGAUGUCGAGGAAGAAACAUUGAUUUGAGAAAGAUGUGUUGCUACUUGUUGGUCCUUUGUUUUUAAUAGGAAGUUACCUGGUGCAGGAAAUUUAAGAUGUGAAAAGAUUUAGGUAAAUGAUUAAGACACCACAUGAGGCGUUUGAUUAUAUAUUUAAAAGGUCCAUAACCAAAAUAUGUAUUGCAGUUGAGAAUAGAAUUAGUAUAAUACUUAUUUUUAAUUCUGAGUGUAGAUCCUUAGUGUAAUAAUCAGUUAGGUUAGUUCAAUAACUUUGUGUUCAUGAUUAAAGAAGUAAAAUAUGCCAUGCAUGAUUAGUUAUUUAAUAUUUUUUAAGUUGAGUGCCUCACAUAUGUGAUGCUCUCGCCUCGUCUAGCGCUUCGUGCCUCGGCUUUUGAGAUCUAAACGCCUCGAAGCGCCUUGACCUUUUUAAAACUUAGCCGCCAAAUCGUGAACUGAACCGUUUAAAUCUCAAAAACGUUCAGUUUUAAUGAUUUGUGAACACUCUUAUAAUGUGUUCAAUUGGAUAUAAAUCUUUACAACCUAUUUAGUUGUUUAUGUCAAAUAUAUAGGUUAGUAUUGUACUAAGUUCAGAAUGUGUUUGUAUACAUUCUUUUUGUACAGGUCUGCAAUAACUGGAUCAAUUGGAAAGCAAUGUGAAUAUUGACUUGUGUACCUUUUUUUAUAGACCAUGUAGAACAAAUCAGGCUGGAUGAUCCAGACGUCCGUUUUGAACGUGCCUCGAGAUGUCAGGAUAGUGAGUUUAGUGUAAAUAUGAUAUAUAUUGUUUUCUUAGUUAUUUUAAAUAGUUUUUGAUGACAUGUCAUGUCAUGGUGUCAAGUUUAGUGUAUAUAUGAUAUAUACUUUUUGGUUUUUUAUGACAUGUUAUGCCAUGGUGAUUCAUUGUUUAAUAAAAUUUGGUAUGUAAAAUUUCUAAACACC
Helianthus annuus (common sunflower) is the source of this 3371-nucleotide long non-coding RNA. RefSeq lists it as uncharacterized. The transcript has 10 exons. NCBI's taxonomy places the organism in Eukaryota, Viridiplantae, Streptophyta, Magnoliopsida, Asterales, Asteraceae. The record is from RefSeq and is a predicted model, not a curated record.